This 456-nucleotide ribosomal RNA is filed under the name uncultured Geobacillus sp. Its description in RNAcentral is "bacterial SSU rRNA". It matches the Rfam family "Bacterial small subunit ribosomal RNA", at positions 925 to 1382 of the family's 1533-position model. Lineage: Bacteria; Bacillati; Bacillota; Bacilli; Caryophanales; Anoxybacillaceae. The record is from RNAcentral.
ACAAGCGGUGGAGCAUGUGGUUUAAUUCGAAGCAACGCGAAGAACCUUACCAGGUCUUGACAUCCCUGACAACCGAGAGAUCGGCGUUCCCCUUCGGGGGACAGGGUGGACAGGUGUGCAUGGUUGUCGGUCAGCUCGUGUCGUGAGAUGUUGGGUUAAGUCCCGCAACGAGCGCAACCCUCGACCUUAGUUGCCAGCAUUCAGUUGGGCACUCUAAGGUGACUGCCGGCUAAAAGUCGGAGGAAGGUGGGGAUGACGUCAAAUCAUCAUGCCCCUUAUGACCUGGGCUACAAACGUGAUACAAUGGCUGGAACAAAGGGAGGCGAAGGGGUGACCUGGAGCGAAACCCAAAAAUACAGUCUCAGUUCGGAUUGAAGUCUGCAACUCGACUUCAUGAAGUCGGAAUCGCUAGUAAUCGCGGAUCAGAACGCCGCGGUGAAUACGUUCUCGGGGUUU